Molecule: long non-coding RNA, 1479 nt
Organism: Hyla sarda
Lineage: Eukaryota; Metazoa; Chordata; Amphibia; Anura; Hylidae
Exons: 3
Source: RefSeq, a predicted model, not a curated record
UCUGCACAGGUUUUGAUAAAUCUCCCCAUAUGAGUAUGUUCUGGGGUGUGUAGACAUGUUCUCCUCUUGGGUGGAGGCGUGGCCUGUUGCUAAGGUGACAGCAAAGAAGCUGAUAUGUGAGAUUGUGUGUAGAUAUGGCCGACCUGAGACAGUAGAGUCCGACCGAGGGACUCACUUUACAGGACAAGUGUUUGCAGAUGAAUCUCCGUACUCCGUACCGUCCACAAUCAUCUGGCAAAGGAGAGAGAGCAAAUGGGGAUUUGAGAAAACAAAAUAGCUAAGAUCUGUGAGCAGACAAAUCUUACGUGGGUACAAGCCUCACCUUCAGCCCUCUUUGUAAUGAGACAUACCCCAAAGGGAAAACAUGGCCUUUCACCAUUUGAGAUUUUGUUUGGCAGACCCCCACUGACAGGUCUAUUCUUUCCACAAGAACUACAUGGACAGUCCCCGUCCUUACCUGACUAUGUCGUCCAGCUGCAUAUACAACUGACUAACUAGCAUGGAACAGUUUUCUCUUCCUUACCAGAUCCUGAAGAAGUAACCGGAACUCACCCCCUGCACCCUGGAGACUGGGUGGUGAUAAGAAGAUUUGUGAGGAGACAUCUGGAGCCCCGAUUUGACGGCCCAUACCAGGUGCUACUGACUACACCCACCUCAGUCAAGGGGGAAGGAAGGCCAAAAAAAGGACUAGCACCAAAAGGGUGAGGCCCCAGGGGACGAAGAGGAUUGACGGAAUCAAAAUGCAUGUACUGUCCUACGUGGUGUCCCGUCCUGAACAGACAGAUGAGGAUGAUGGGAUCUGUAACACUCAGUUGUACCGUAAUAUGGUACGGAUUCAUGUUGUUUUUCUGCUUACGUGUGUGUAAGAUACUCAUAUUAUCACGACCUACCAAGGAGCAUCUGGAGUCACGAUAAAGAAGAUGAAUGCGUAUAUACUUUCUUUGUCUCCGGAUUGGCUGAACUAUGGACAAAUGACAUUAUAAAGACAGUUCUCUUAUCUGAUCACAUAACAUAUACCCAGGAGAAAUCAUGUGACCUGCUGUGUGUUAAUGCGGGUUCCAUUGUAAUCCUGCCUAAUUAAUAAUAAUUUCUCUUUCAUUUGGUCCAACUGUUUCACGUUAUCUUUGCUUUAUCAAACCUUUUUCCUUCCAAUCCACGACAUAUAUGGGAAUUUACGAGCGUGUAACUGGGUCUUCAAUCCGUGUAAUAAUGGCGCAAAGUGUGAAGUAAAGAGAUCUUGUACCAGAUGUGAUCAGAUCUCUAGGGAUUUUAUACCCCGGGGAGGACAAAGAAAAGGAAAAGAAUUACACCGAUGUUUACUGAACCCGGGGGACGCUGACAUAUUGACGACUUCUCAUAUAGAAAAAUGGAUUUUAUGAUCUGAGACCGAAAAUAGACGUCAAGACGGGAAACGCUGGUCUAGGGUUUGUGAUAAAUAAAAGUAUCUGCAGCGUCUUAUGUUCAGAAGAGACGAUCUUC